RNAcentral lists this ribosomal RNA (403 nucleotides) under uncultured bacterium. Its description in RNAcentral is "bacterial SSU rRNA". It matches the Rfam family "Bacterial small subunit ribosomal RNA", at positions 358 to 770 of the family's 1533-position model. The record is from RNAcentral.
GGAAUUUUUGACAAUGGGGGAAACCCUGAUCAAGCAACGCCGCGUGGAUGAUGAAGUAUCUCGGUACGUAAAAUCCUUUCGACAGGGAAGAAACCUUCGGGUUGACGGUACCUGUAGAAGAAGCCCCGGCUCACUCCGUGCCAGCAGCCGCGGUAAUCCGGGGGGGGCGGGCGUUGUUCGGAUUUACUGGGCGUAAAGGGCGCGUAGGCGGUUUGUUAAGUCUGAUGUGAAAACUCUCGGCUCAACCGAGAGCCUGCAUCCGAUACUGGCAGACUAGAGUGCGAGAGGGGAAAGCGGAAUUCCUGGUGUAGCGGUGAAAUGCGUAGAUAUCAGGAGGAACACCGGCGGCGAAGGCGGCUUUCUGGAUCGCAACUGACGCUGAGGCGCGAAAGCUAGGGGAGCA